RNAcentral lists this ribosomal RNA (256 nucleotides) under Staphylococcus sp. HMSC62A08. Its description in RNAcentral is "partial 16S ribosomal RNA". It matches the Rfam family "Bacterial small subunit ribosomal RNA", at positions 668 to 922 of the family's 1533-position model. The record is from RNAcentral. Lineage: Bacteria; Bacillati; Bacillota; Bacilli; Caryophanales; Staphylococcaceae.
UCCAUGUGUAGCGGUGAAAUGCGCAGAGAUAUGGAGGAACACCAGUGGCGAAGGCGACUUUCUGGUCUGUAACUGACGCUGAUGUGCGAAAGCGUGGGGAUCAAACAGGAUUAGAUACCCUGGUAGUCCACGCCGUAAACGAUGAGUGCUAAGUGUUAGGGGGUUUCCGCCCCUUAGUGCUGCAGCUAACGCAUUAAGCACUCCGCCUGGGGAGUACGACCGCAAGGUUGAAACUCAAAGGAAUUGACGGGGACCC